This is an RNA transcript of Dreissena polymorpha, 3894 nucleotides long. It is a transcript of the gene named dnaJ homolog subfamily C member 7-like, with no coding region annotated. The transcript is spliced from 14 exons. The record is from RefSeq and is a predicted model, not a curated record. Lineage: Eukaryota; Metazoa; Mollusca; Bivalvia; Myida; Dreissenidae.
UAUCGUAUGUAAGCUAAAAGACGAACCCGUCUGUAACCUUACAUGCGCCGAUUUGUUUGUAAUGACGAACAUGAACGAGGAAGAAAAAAAUGAAUCAGACGGGGCUCCUAUGGAUAUUGAGGAGCAGCUGGUAUGCAGGACUCAUGAAGAGAUGAAGGAGGCAGGCAACAAACACUACAGUGAACAGAACUACAAAGAGGCCAUCUCAUGUUAUACUCAGGCAAUCAACUUGUGCCCGACCUGUGCUGCCUACUAUGGGAACCGAUCAGCCUGCUAUAUGAUGCUGAACAAGUACGCUGACGCCUUAAAUGAUGCCAGAGAAUCCAUCAAGCUGGACCCAAACUUUGUAAAAGGUUUCAUGCGAGAAGGAAAAUGUCACCUAUCGCUCGGCGAUCCAUCAUCGGCGAUGCGAGCCUAUAACAGAGUGCUACAGCUGGAGCCCAAAAAUCAGGCCGCUAAAAAAGAGCUUCAUUUAGCAGAAAGUCUACAGAAGUUUGAAGCCACCCUGGAUGCCGACUGUGAAAAAAUGGACUUUCGGAAAGCCCUGUUUUGUGUGGAACAGUGCCUGCAACUGGCAGGUCCGAGCAUGAAGUACAAAAUACGCAAAGCAGAGCUGCUAACGUUUCUCGGGCGAUACCAAGAGAGUCAAGAAAUAGCCAACGACGUCCUCCAACGUGAUGGGAUGAAUGCAGAUGCCCUGUUUGUGCGGGGAAUGUGUCUAUACUACCAGGACAACAUAGACAAGGCAUUCAGCCACUUCCAGCAGGUACUGCGUCUCGCGCCUGACCAUCAGAAGGCCAGAGAGACCUACAGGAAAGCAAAGCAGUUGAUAGCAAAGAAAGAAGAAGGCAACAAGGUGUUCCGUGCGGGAAACUUCGAGGAGGCGUACAAGAUUUACACAGAGGCGCUUGAGAUCGACCCGAACAACAAGUUCACCAACUCAAAACUGUAUUGCAAUAGGGCCACUGUCUGUACUAAGAUUGGGAAGAAUGAGCAGUCAGUGGAAGACUGUACGAAGGCGAUAGAACUGGACGAUACAUAUCUCAAAGCUUACAUGAGACGAGCAAAAAGUUACAUGGACAUGGAACAGUAUGAGGAAGCUGUCAGGGACUACGAGAAAAUAUUACAGCUUGACAAAACUAGAGAGAACAAACGCCUGCUGCAAGAGGCCAAGUUGGAAUUGAAAAAGAGCAAGAGAAAAGACUACUACAAGAUUUUGGGCGUGUCGAAAACUGCCACAGACGAUGAAAUCAAGAAGGCCUACAGAAAACGAGCUCUCUCACACCAUCCAGAUCGCCACUCCCACGAUACGGUGGAGGUACAGAAGGAGGAGGAGAUGAAGUUCAAGGAGGUCGGGGAGGCCUACUCCGUGUUGUCGGAUCAGAAGAAACGGACGCGCUACGACCAGGGUCAUGACAUGGAAGAUCUCGAUGGCUUCGGAGGGGGCGGUUUCAACAAUAUCGACCCCAACCUUAUAUUCCAAUCCUUUUUCGGCGGUGGUGGUGGCGGACAUCAUUUCAACUUUGGUGGCGGCGGUGGUGGCAGUGGGGGCUUUCCGGGUGGUUUUUCCUUCCAGUUCGGAUAACAUCACCCUCGGGAAACGCUGUGGUGUUUUUAGAUCUUGACCACGCUACUGAUAAAAUUCUGCAAAUUGUUAGAACCUUACUGUGAUCCUGAACACGUAUAGGAAACAUAUUAAAAGAACAUUCUAUAUUUGACGCUGAUUUGGGGUAUUUGUUGUACUUAAUCAGGGGUGUGAUUUAUCCGCAGAUUUUUGCACAUCCAAUUGUGCCAAGGGUCAUUACUGAUAUAUAUGUAAAUUUUGUAUUUUAACAAUGUGUGGGCCGGGUUGGAGGGGGGGUCAAAAAAGCAAAAGUAAAAUAUGGAGCAAAAGUUAAAGAUUGCCAGCAUAAAUCACAGUGAUCGGGAAAAAAAUUGACAUGUACUAUUAGUUACACUUUGAGUAACUGAUGGUGUAUGGGAUAUACACCCUUAGUAAUUUCCCAUACACCCAUCAGUUACUAACUGUAUAAAGAUUAUAUCUCAACCGACUAAUGGAUUACUCUGGGUGUAUGGAAAUUACUAGGGGUGUAUGGAUAAUACUCCAUGGGAACAUGACCGCUCUAAGCCAAUCGGAUUAGGUCAUUUUUUUAGGAGGUACAUUAUGGAAUUCACCCCUAAUGAAAACUGUUAAAUUUGCAACCUUUAAUAGCUAGUAGUUGAAGUUAAAAAUGGUUUUAAGAAAUAAUUAUUGUUGUAAAUUUCAAUUAAGGGUUUAUUUAUAUCAGAUUUUAACGGUUUGUCCAAAAUUAGUCAGCACAAUUUUCCUCCCCUGGGAAUUCUCCUCCAUCACACCCCUGCUUAAUGUAAACGUAACAAAUUAAUGGAAAAACGAAAUCGUGUUCUGCAUAGAUGAACAAUGUUAGAACAUGUUUCAUUUUAAGCUUGUCCCACUCGGAGGUAAAGUGAAAAUGGGUAUGUGCAAACAGCAUAAAACCAGAACAGCUUGUGAUUCACUGGCAGUCUGUUCAGGUUUUAUGCUGUUUGCUGCUCAUGAGUAUCUAAGGGUUAGAAAUGAAACCAUUAAGAAAGGUAUUAAUUAAAUUAAACUUUUUAAGGGACUACAAACAUGUCGAAAUACGUAUCUAAGUAGUAAAGAGUUAAUAAAUAUGCAAAGAAAUCCUUUUGAAUUAAAAGCUAAAUAGGUUUGAGAAAAGAUGUCUCUUAAAAUCAUUUUUUUGAUCCCAUGUAAAAUUGAUUUUCAAUGUCAAUCAAAGUUUUGUUAACAUGGGAUAUUUGAAAAUGAUAUUUGCAGUUCAUAUUCGCUCCACAUUUUGUGCAGUGCAUUUACUUUUGAGGUUUACGUGUGAAGAAAGCAUGAUGGAACGAUGGAGAAAAAAAUGGAAAUUAAAUUAAUCAACUGUAAUGUUAAUUUUAAGGUUCUUAAGUAAAAAAUAUUUAUGUUUACUUAAGUGAGAAUUGAUAUAUUUGUUUUAUACUUAAAGCCAUCAAUUCUUUUUAAGCAAAAAAAAAAUCAAGUAACAAUUCCGUAAAAAAUUAGCAGAAUGCUACUUAAAUACAUUUUAUUGUUGCCAAUAUCAAAAACAAACUUAAAUUUCUCACUCAAAUUUUGUCAAAUGUGACGUAAAUCUACAGUAUUGUGUGCAGAUACCAAUAUUCGAGUCAUAUAUUCAAUUUUAUUAUUAAUGAAGCUUUUCCAACAUGGCGGCAGAUGGUAAAAUGUGUCGCUUUGCACUUUAUAUUUUUAGGCUUUAAAUUCAAUUCUCGUCUUUGCAAUUAUUCAGAGAAAAAGGUAAAAACAUUUAUUUCUCUAGGAGGCACCCGCUAUGCGAUGCUCUUGUUUAUACAUAACAAUCAAUUAAGAAAAAAGGCAAUCUGUACUAAUACAACUUGUGUAUAUAAUUUAUACAUGUAUUAUAAUGUACAAAAGUUUUUGUUUUGUUUCUCUAUACUUGUCAUCAUAAUUUUGUUAAAAAACAUCCAUGCAUGAUCCUUGAGAACAAGUGAUGAUGAAACAAUGUAUCUUUGUUGUUACUGUUGUGGUGUUAUAAUAUCUUAAGCAGCAAUGUUUGAUGACAAGCUAUUCUUGUCGUGUUGCACAAUCUUUUAUCAUAUUGAUACUGCUUUGAAACUGUAAGCUGUGAAUACUUGAGUAAAUGUGUGUAAAUAUGUCUGAAAAGCUUGAAUAAUGUUUUCUGUUUAUCUGCAAUUUUGCAUGAAAGAUGAUGUUGUAUACAUGGAUAUAAGUUGUUUUUUUAUCAAAACUUGAAAUGCAUAGAAACCCCACAUUACAAUAUCUGUAAUAAUUGUUGUGAAGGAUUUUGUUGUUUUGGUAUAAAUAUUGAUAAUAAAUUAUUUGAUGGUCGCAUGUUA